Molecule: RNA transcript, 2138 nt
Organism: Macaca mulatta (Rhesus monkey)
Lineage: Eukaryota; Metazoa; Chordata; Mammalia; Primates; Cercopithecidae
Gene: TBCE
Gene name: tubulin folding cofactor E
Source: RefSeq, marked provisional
GGGUUGACCACUCCUCUCGCCUCCAAUACUGUCGUUGACAUUCUCGUCUAUGCUCCGGCAGCCGUAGCUCACUCCGGUGGAGGCGGGACUUCCUACAGCACUUCCGGCCAGAGCCUAAAGCUUCGCUGCUGUGCAGUGCGCUGGAGGGGCAGCUGCUCCGAACACUUGGAGUCUCCGCGGGCAGAUCUCAUAUUUUGGAUUCUGGAUAUAUUAUAAUGAGUGACACUUUGACACCGGAUGUCAUUGGUCGAAGAGUUGAAGUUAAUGGAGAACAUGCAACAGUACGUUUUGCUGGUGUCGUCCCUCCUGUGGCAGGACCCUGGUUAGGAGUAGAAUGGGACAAUCCCGAGAGAGGAAAGCAUGAUGGGAGCCACGAAGGGACUGUGUAUUUUAAAUGCAGGCACCCAACAGGAGGAUCCUUUGUUCGUCCGAAUAAGGUAAAUUUUGGAACAGACUUUCUUACUGCAAUUAAGAACCGCUAUGUGUUAGAAGAUGGACCAGAGGAAGAUAGAAAAGAACAAAUUGUUACACUUGGAAAUAAACCUGUGGAGACUGUUGGUUUUGACUCUCUUAUGAAACAGCAAAGUCAGCUGAGCAAGUUGCAAGAAGUUUCUCUGAGGAACUGUGCAGUAAGUUGUGCUGGUGAAAAAGGAGGAGUUGCCGAAGCAUGUCCUAAUAUUAGAAGGGUAGAUUUGUCAAAAAACCUGUUGUCAUCAUGGGAUGAAGUGAUCCACAUUGCUGAUCAGCUCAGACACCUGGAAGUCCUUAAUCUCAGUGAAAAUAAACUAAAAUUUCCCUCCGGUUCAGCAUUAACUGGAACGUUUUCUGCACUGAAGGUUUUAGUCCUCAAUCAAACAGGAAUAACGUGGGCUGAGGUGCUGCGGUGUGCCGCGUGGUGCCCGGGCCUGGAGGAACUCUACCUGGAGUCUAACAAUAUUGUCAUUUCCGAAAGGCCAACAGAUGUUCUCCAGACAGUCAAGUUAUUAGACCUUUCCUCUAAUCAAUUAAUUGAUGAAAAUCAGCUGUAUCUGAUAGCCCACCUGCCCAGGUUAGAACAAUUAAUCCUCUCUGACAUUGGAAUUUCUUCUAUACAUUUUCCGGAUGCUGGAAUUGGGUGCAAAACCUCCAUGUUCCCGUCCUUGCAGUACCUUGUAGUAAAUGACAAUCAGAUAUCACAAUGGUCAUUUUUCAAUGAGCUAGACAAGUUACCAAGUCUACGGGCUUUGUCCUGCCUAAGAAACCCCCUGACCAAGGAGGACAAAGAAGCAAACAUGACGCGGCAGCUCAUUAUUGCCAGCAUUGGCCAGCUGAAGACCCUGAACAAAUGUGAGAUUCUCCCCAAGGAGAGGCGGACAGCUGAGCUUGACUAUCGAAAAGCUUUUGGAAAUGAGUGGAAACAGGCUGGUGGACAUCAGGAUCCGGACAAAAACAGACUCAGCGAAGAAUUCCUCAGAGCCCAUCCUAGAUACCAGUUCCUCUGCCUGAAAUAUGGUGCACCUGAAGAUUGGGAACUCAAAACACAACAACCAUUUAUGCUCAAAAACCAGCUACUAACACUGAAGAUAAAAUACCCUGAUCAACUUGAUCAGAAAGUCCUAGAGAAACAACUGCCGGAUACGUCAAAUCAAUUAAUGGGAAUGUCACCACUAUGGAGUAUUUGCUCAAGAAUAUUGUCAUCAGACCUGCUUCGUUAAGCUUUCCUCUGCAGUCUUCCUCUGGAAGGCACUGAGGCUCCAUGACAAUUCAAAAGGUGAAGGGAUGGCUGUCACGUCUUCUCAAAGUUCCUGUGUCAGACCUUCUGUUGUCCUAUGAAAGUCCAAAAGAGCCGGGCAUAGAAAUCAAGCUGGAAAAUGACCUACAGUCAUUACGUUUUUAUUCUGUGGAAAAUGAAGAUUGUCUAUUAGUGCGAUGGUAACAACCAACUAAUAAAAUUUAGAGACUACACUGCUUAUCAUGUCUGGGGUUCAUCGGAAAUAAAUGAUCCACUGGAACAAUUCUGUCAAAAACAAAGGGGUUUACAACUUGCCCUAAGGAUAACAAGGGAUUUAUUUUCACCACUGAUGUAGUUUUUGUUGGGAAGCGACCAUUUCUAGGCUUAUACAUAAUAGCAGUAAUAAAGGCUUUGAACCUACUAACAA